UACGUAGGGUGCAAGCGUUGUCCGGAAUUAUUGGGCGUAAAGAGCUCGUAGGCGGUCUGUCGCGUCGGCUGUGAAAACUCGGGGCUCAACCCCGAGCUUGCAGUCGAUACGGGCAGGCUAGAGUUCGGCAGGGGGAGACUGGAAUUCCUGGUGUAGCGGUGAAAUGCGCAGAUAUCAGGAGGAACACCGGUGGCGAAGGCGGGGUCUCUGGGGCCGAUACUGACGCUGAGGAGCGAAAGCGUGGGGAGCGAACAGG
This 256-nucleotide ribosomal RNA is filed under the name uncultured bacterium. RNAcentral describes it as "partial 16S ribosomal RNA". It matches the Rfam family "Bacterial small subunit ribosomal RNA", at positions 524 to 776 of the family's 1533-position model. The record is from RNAcentral.